UAACGCGAAGAACCUUACCAAGUCUUGACAUCCUUUGACCACUCUAGAGAUAGAGCUUUCCCUUCGGGGACAAAGUGACAGAUGGUGCAUGGUUGUCGUCAGCUCGUGUCGUGAGAUGUUGGGUUAAGUCCCGCAACGAGCGCAACCCUUAUUACUAGUUGCCAGCAUUUAGUUGGGCACUCUAGUGAGACUGCCGGUGACAAACCGGAGGAAGGUGGGGACGACGUCAAAUCAUCAUGCCCCUUAUGACCUGGGCUACACACGUGCUACAAUGGAUGGUACAGCGAGUUGCGAGACCGCGAGGUUUAGCUAAUCUCUUAAAACCAUUCUCAGUUCGGAUUGUAGGCUGCAACUCGCCUACAUGAAGCCGGAAUCGCUAGUAAUCGUGGAUCAGAAUGCCACGGUGAAUACGUUCCCGGGCCUUGUACACACCG
RNAcentral lists this ribosomal RNA (434 nucleotides) under uncultured bacterium. Its description in RNAcentral is "bacterial SSU rRNA". It matches the Rfam family "Bacterial small subunit ribosomal RNA", at positions 957 to 1392 of the family's 1533-position model. The record is from RNAcentral.